GGUGGCUCAGUGGUAGAGUGCUUGCCUAGCAUGCAUGAGGCCCUGGGUUCAAUUCCUCAGUACCA
This is a non-coding RNA of Dipodomys ordii (Ord's kangaroo rat), 65 nucleotides long. NCBI's taxonomy places the organism in Eukaryota, Metazoa, Chordata, Mammalia, Rodentia, Heteromyidae. The record is from Rfam.